CCUACGGGGUGCUGCAGUGGGGAAUAUUGCGCAAUGGGCGAAAGCCUGACGCAGCGACGCCGCGUGAGGGAUGAAGGUUCUCGGAUCGUAAACCUCUGUCAGACGGGAAGAAAUUAUAUCAUGCUAAUCAGUGGUGUAUUGACGGUACCUUCAAAGGACGCACCGGCUAAAUCCGUGCCAGCAGCCGCGGCAAUACGGAGGGUGCGAGCGUUAAUCGGAAUUACUGGGCGUAAAGCGCACGUAGGCUGUCAGACAAGUGCAGGGUGAAAUGGCAGGGCUCAACCGUGGAACUGCCUUUGAAACUGUCAAACUGGAGUAUGUGAGAGGGCUGCGGAAUUCCUGGUGUAGGAGUGAAAUCCGUAGAUAUCAGGAGGAACAUCAGUGGCGAAGGCGGCCGCCCGGCACAAAACUGACGCUGAGGUGCGAAAGCGUGGGUAGCAAACAGGAUUAGAUACCCCUGUAGUC
This 465-nucleotide ribosomal RNA is filed under the name uncultured bacterium. RNAcentral's name for it is "partial 16S ribosomal RNA". It matches the Rfam family "Bacterial small subunit ribosomal RNA", at positions 338 to 795 of the family's 1533-position model. The record is from RNAcentral.